Telopea speciosissima is the source of this 410-nucleotide long non-coding RNA. RefSeq lists it as uncharacterized. The record is from RefSeq and is a predicted model, not a curated record. The transcript has 3 exons. NCBI's taxonomy places the organism in Eukaryota, Viridiplantae, Streptophyta, Magnoliopsida, Proteales, Proteaceae.
AACAAGCCCAGCUGAGGAAGGUUUAACCAGGCCAGGCUCGUUUAUAACCACAACCCAUAUCGGCAAAACCAAAGAAACUUACGACCGAUUGAUUGGUUAGGGUUCUCGGAGAAGAGAACACAGAGCUAAAGAGGGUUUUGGAGCUGAGCUUCAAAGCAACUGGGUUUCCUCUUGACCUUCGCUGGAAAUGAAUCGUAGUUAUGGUUCGUUGAUUUUACAGAGAAGUGACUCUCCUCUGUUCUGAGUUGCUGUGUACUCCUCCGGUUCACACCAUGAAAUCUGGACACAUCAAAAUGGUAGAAAUUGUGGCAAAGACAGGACAAACUUGAAGAUGCCAGCAUUGGUUUUGGUUUCUUUAAUUAAUUAAUCACCUCCACUCUGUUUGAAGAUCUCAUGUCUGUGAGAUGGAA